UGCGAAAUCGUGUCAUUUGAUGUCCAGACACAGGAAUUUGAAGUCUUGCAAGGUCCACCAUGCAGCCAUGACUGUGGGCAUAUGACCAUCCUCCAGCUUCAGGGUGCACUUUGUGUGGCUUGUUCAGAUCGAAGAGUGAACACAAUUGAUGUAUGGAUGAUGGAAGAUCAUGGCUUCUGGUUAAUGAAGUAUCAUAUAAAGCUCGAAAAGUUCUUACCAGAUUACUUGGCGGAGAACACUACCCCGAUAGCUGUUGAUCCAAAGGAUGGACGUAUUUUGCUGAAUGCUGGUUGGUCAUUGGGCUACUAUGACCCCGAGACCUUAGAAAUUGAAACCAUCUACUCAGGGAACAUCCCAGACCAUGGCGUCAAGUUCUGUCCUAUUAUCUGCCAUGAAAGUUUGGUCUGGCCAUAUAGCCCAUCCUGAUCUCUUUUCGGUGCACUCCUACUUUGUGACAACAAUAUCCUUCCCACGGUUAUUUGGUUGGGAGAAUUACAACCAAAGAUGGAAAAGAAGCUUGCUGGCGUAGCAAGUAUUCGCUAUUUUGAAGCCCAUCAAUCUAUCUUACUUAUAGCAAAUUUGUUAUCAUUGUAAACCAAAUUUAGAUUAUUGUAACUGCGCACUGCAUGUACUCCCUCCGUUCCGAAUUGUAGGUCGUUUGACUUUUUUUUAUCUCAA
Molecule: long non-coding RNA, 678 nt
Organism: Panicum virgatum (switchgrass)
Lineage: Eukaryota; Viridiplantae; Streptophyta; Magnoliopsida; Poales; Poaceae
Exons: 2
Source: RefSeq, a predicted model, not a curated record